GUGCUCACUUCAGCAGCACAUAAACUAAAAUUGGAAUGAUACAGGGCAUGGCCCCUGAGCAAAGAUAUGCAAAUCUGUGAAGCACUGCAUAUUUCU
Molecule: small nuclear RNA, 96 nt
Filed under: Neogale vison (American mink)
Lineage: Eukaryota; Metazoa; Chordata; Mammalia; Carnivora; Mustelidae
Source: RNAcentral